Molecule: ribosomal RNA, 1445 nt
Filed under: Gram-positive bacterium str. 13-2
Lineage: Bacteria; Bacillati; Actinomycetota; Actinomycetes
Description: bacterial SSU rRNA
Rfam family: Bacterial small subunit ribosomal RNA
Source: RNAcentral
GACGAACGCUGGCGGCGUGCUUAACACAUGCAAGUCGAACGGUGAAGCAGAGCUUGCUCUGUGGAUCAGUGGCGAACGGGUGAGUAACACGUGAGCAACCUGCCCCGGACUCUGGGAUAAGCGCUGGAAACGGCGUCUAAUACCGGAUACGAGCUGCGAAGGCAUCUUCAGCAGCUGGAAAGAACUUCGGUCUGGGAUGGGCUCGCGGCCUAUCAGCUUGUUGGUGAGGUAACGGCUCACCAAGGCGUCGACGGGUAGCCGGCCUGAGAGGGUGACCGGCCACACUGGGACUGAGACACGGCCCAGACUCCUACGGGAGGCAGCAGUGGGGAAUAUUGCACAAUGGGCGAAAGCCUGAUGCAGCAACGCCGCGUGAGGGACGACGGCCUUCGGGUUGUAAACCUCUUUUAGCAGGAAAGAAGCGAAAGUGACGGUACCUGCAGAAAAAGCGCCGGCUAACUACGUGCCAGCAGCCGCGGUAAUACGUAGGGCGCAAGCGUUAUCCGGAAUUAUUGGGCGUAAAGAGCUCGUAGGCGGUCUGUCGCGUCUGCUGUGAAAACCCGAGGCUCAACCUCGGGCCUGCAGUGGGUACGGGCAGACUAGAGUGCGGUAGGGGAGAUUGGAAUUCCUGGUGUAGCGGUGGAAUGCGCAGAUAUCAGGAGGAACACCGAUGGCGAAGGCAGAUCUCUGGGCCGUAACUGACGCUGAGGAGCGAAAGGGUGGGGAGCAAACAGGCUUAGAUACCCUGGUAGUCCACCCCGUAAACGUUGGGAACUAGUUGUGGGGUCCAUUCCACGGAUUCCGUGACGCANNUAACGCAUUAAGUUCCCCGCCUGGGGAGUACGGGCCGCAAGGCUAAAACUCAAAGGAAUUGACGGGGACCCGCACAAGCGGCGGAGCAUGCGGAUUAAUUCGAUGCAACGCGAAGAACCUUUCCAAGGCUUGACAUAUACGAGAACGCUGCAGAAAUGUAGAACUCUUUGGACACUCGUAAACAGGUGGUGCAUGGUUGUCGUCAGCUCGUGUCGUGAGAUGUUGGGUUAAGUCCCGCAACGAGCGCAACCCUCGUUCUAUGUUGCCANCACGUAAUGGUGGGAACUCAUGGGAUACUGCCGGGGUCAACUCGGAGGAAGGUGGGGAUGACGUCAAAUCAUCAUGCCCCUUAUGUCUUGGGCUUCACGCAUGCUACAAUGGCCGGUACAAAGGGCUGCAAUACCGUAAGGUGGAGCGAAUCCCAAAAAGCCGGUCCCAGUUCGGAUUGAGGUCUGCAACUCGACCUCAUGAAGUCGGAGUCGCUAGUAAUCGCAGAUCAGCAACGCUGCGGUGAAUACGUUCCCGGGUCUUGUACACACCGCCCGUCAAGUCAUGAAAGUCGGUAACACCUGAAGCCGGUGGCCCAACCCUUGUGGAGGGAGCCGUCGAAGGUGGGAUCGGUAAUUAGGACU